Molecule: long non-coding RNA, 1318 nt
Filed under: Pogona vitticeps (central bearded dragon)
Lineage: Eukaryota; Metazoa; Chordata; Lepidosauria; Squamata; Agamidae
Description: lncRNA (ENSPVIG00000012287.1)
Source: RNAcentral
GCUGGACAGUGUCUGCGAGGCAACCAACAUGAAGUUGACAGAACUCCGGGAGGCAGUGGAAGAUAGUGCUCUGGUCCAUGGGGUCACGAAGAGCCGGACAUGACUGAACGACUAAACAACAAUGUAGUCUGAGCUAAAUGGUUAAUAGUUAGGCCAGUACAGUGGCCCCUCGACUUACAGAUGGCUUGACUUACCGACUUUUAAGUUACAGACUUCUCUGGCUGCAAAAUUUAGGUUCGACUUGCAGCCAGAGAAUCGAUCUACAGACCAGGAAAAAAACCAAAAUGGAACAAAAAUGGAACAAAAACGGCCGGUUACAGGAUUGAUCGGUUAUCAAUGCAUUGUAGGUGAAUGGAGACUCGACCUACAGACUUUUCAACCUGCAGCCACUGUCCCAAUACGGAUUAAUUCCGUAAGUAGAGGGUCCACUUGUAUCCCAUUCAGCGUUCCAUACAGGUAGCUGCAGGUACAGAAGCAGCAAAGUCCCAUCAUCUGCCUGAUCAUGUGGCAGUUUGGUUGUGCCAGCAGGAGACUAGACCUCUCAACAUCAGCCACUUCCACAUUUGCUGUUAGAAAACUGAACAGCCACAACGGCCCGAGCUGUUUUCUAGCUUUCCCAUUUGCCUCCUCUUCAACCAUUACAAUUUCUGCAUUAGGUUGCUGGCUACAGUAAAGGUUUCCAUGACCUCUGUGACCUUAAUUGUAUUCAGGACCUCUCCUACUGUGGUUUGCCCUUUGCUCCAUGCAUGGCAUCCUCUUUUGUCUGUCGUUGUGGCCAAAUAUAGACUGUCUCUUUUAUCCUCAGUCCUUUAUUACAAGAUUCCUAGAUGGUCACCCUUGUGACCAAGGUGGUGAAUCAUCAAGCGAUAGAACCAAAGAGUCUCCAUGUAGGGAGAGAAUUACAGGGCAGGAGACAGCCAGGGGUGUCUGGAGAGAGUCAUCCACCUUCCAACCAGGGCAGGGUCUUUCCCUAUCCAACUACAUGAGACAAAGUUGAUUCCUCACUCUCUACACCAACCCAGUGAACUUGCCACAUACCCCAUCCUAUGAUGACAGGACCUUAAAACCAACCAGCUUUCCUCACUGGAUGGGGGUUGAAAGCGAUGACCAGAAAACCAGCUACAGUAUUUCAUCACAGAAAACAUGAACUCCAAUCCAGUCACUGACCCCAAGUAUCUUUAUACUAAUUGAAUAUGUAUGAAUCAUUGGUUUUGAAAAUACAUGUGUUGCUUAAGAGCAGUCAUUUUAAACUUAGCAAUAUUCUUCUGCCUAUAAUGAAUAUUUUCUUUAAAUAAACAGUCUUCCACUCCAGGAGGCA